RNAcentral lists this ribosomal RNA (389 nucleotides) under Klebsiella sp. 10-1. RNAcentral's name for it is "bacterial SSU rRNA". It matches the Rfam family "Bacterial small subunit ribosomal RNA", at positions 1 to 388 of the family's 1533-position model. Lineage: Bacteria; Pseudomonadati; Pseudomonadota; Gammaproteobacteria; Enterobacterales; Enterobacteriaceae. The record is from RNAcentral.
AAAUUGAAGAGUUUGAUCAUGGCUCAGAUUGAACGCUGGCGGCAGGCCUAACACAUGCAAGUCGAACGGUAGCACAGAGAGCUUGCUCUCGGGUGACGAGUGGCGGACGGGUGAGUAAUGUCUGGGAAACUGCCUGAUGGAGGGGGAUAACUACUGGAAACGGUAGCUAAUACCGCAUAACGUCGCAAGACCAAAGUGGGGGACCUUCGGGCCUCAUGCCAUCAGAUGUGCCCAGAUGGGAUUAGCUUGUAGGUGAGGUAACGGCUCACCUAGGCGACGAUCCCUAGCUGGUCUGAGAGGAUGACCAGCCACACUGGAACUGAGACACGGUCCAGACUCCUACGGGAGGCAGCAGUGGGGAAUAUUGCACAAUGGGCGCAAGCCUGAUG